This 1070-nucleotide long non-coding RNA is filed under the name Carassius auratus (goldfish). RNAcentral describes it as "lncRNA (ENSCARG00000008626.1)". Lineage: Eukaryota; Metazoa; Chordata; Actinopteri; Cypriniformes; Cyprinidae. The record is from RNAcentral.
UAAUAUAUAUAUUUUUUUAAUUGGCAUAUUUUGUGUUUUGCUUUGGUACCGAGAACCAUGGAUUUUCACUGGUAUCGGUAUCAAAUACUGAAAUUUGGGUACCGUGACAACACUAUUUAAAAGGUAUACGACUCGCCAAGAAAUAUUUUGAUUGUGUACUGCUCUGCAUACAACUGUAUAAUGUCUAAACGUUAAACCAAUAUGUCUCUAAUGAUCUCUUUGUAAGAGACAAAACCACAGUAAGAUUAUUUAUCGUAAUGUCAUGAUGAGAAUUACAAGAAAUUACCCCAACUCAUGCUCGGCCAACAUCAAAUUGUAGGCUAUUAUUUCUGCUGUUGUGCUCAUGUGUAAAUUGAGGAUAGAACGAACAAGUGAUGAUAUUUGAUACCUUCUGGGGACAUGCAUUGACCUGUAUUUUAACUGUCUUUAUGGGGACACCUUGUUUAAAUGGGGAUUGCAUUAUAUGCAUAAUAUAAUUUGUGUAGAAUUCUCAAGACCUUUAUAUUUGUCUGAUUACAGGUUGUCUUCCAAAUCAACAUGGACUAGGGUUAGGGUUCUUAACAUGAACGACACCGAAAUGGACCAACUUGCUGAUAUCCUGGGACAUGAUAUUCGUAUCCACAGGAAAUAUUACAGAUUACCCGAGGGAACACUAUUAACAGGGUAUGUAACCUGUUAAUCGAGUUUAAACUACCUGUCAAGCGUGUCCUAGUGACUUUGGAAGAAUCUGUGCAUAUCUCUGAAUACGAAGACUAUAUUCAGAGUGCGUUGAGCCUGAUCCUGGGAUGGAGAGUGAAACAGAACUGUCAGAUCAUUCUCAUGACGUGACGUCAAGUGAGACAGGCACUUCAGGAGUGAAUAGCAGCAGGCCAGUAAACACGAAUGAAGGAUCUCCAGAGAGGUCACGGGAGGUCAUGAAAGUAACAUCAGUUCCUAGGAAGAGAAAGUGGAGUGAGGUGGAGAUUGCGGCUGUAGAAGAGACAAUGAUGAAAUUUAUUCACUCGGGAGUUACACCUGGAAAAGUCGACUACAUUGCAUGCAUUACAGCAGCCCCCCAAAGCCCUCUGUGA